RNAcentral lists this ribosomal RNA (253 nucleotides) under uncultured bacterium. RNAcentral describes it as "partial 16S ribosomal RNA". It matches the Rfam family "Bacterial small subunit ribosomal RNA", at positions 524 to 776 of the family's 1533-position model. The record is from RNAcentral.
UACGAAGGGGGCUAGCGUUGUUCGGAUUUACUGGGCGUAAAGCGCACGUAGGCGGAUCGUUAAGUCGGGGGUGAAAUCCUGGAGCUCAACUCCAGAACUGCCUUCGAUACUGGCGAUCUCGAGUCCGGAAGAGGUGAGUGGAACUCCUAGUGUAGAGGUGAAAUUCGUAGAUAUUCGGAGGAACACCAGUGGCGAAGGCGGUUCUCUGGGCAUUACCUGACGCUGAGGAGCGAAAGCAUGGGGAGCGAACAGG